RNAcentral lists this ribosomal RNA (373 nucleotides) under uncultured organism. RNAcentral's name for it is "bacterial SSU rRNA". It matches the Rfam family "Bacterial small subunit ribosomal RNA", at positions 526 to 896 of the family's 1533-position model. The record is from RNAcentral.
CGUAGGGUCCAAGCGUUAUCCGGAAUUACUGGGCGUAAAGAGUUGCGUAGGUGGCAGGGUAAGUAGAUAGUGAAAGCGUGUGGCUCAACCAUACAUCCAUUAUCUAAACUGCUCAGCUAGAGGACGAGAGAGGUAGAUGGAAUUCCUAAUGUAGGGGUAAUAUCCGUAGAUAUUAGGAGGAUCACCGAUGGCGUAAGCAGUCUACUGGCUCGUUCCUGACACUAAGGCACGAAAGCGUGGGGAGCAAACGGGAUUAGAUACCCCGGUAGUCCACGCCGUAAACUAUGGAUGCUAGCUGUAAGGAGUAUCGACCCUUCUUGUAGCGAAGCUAACGCGUUAAGCAUCCCGCCUGUGGAGUACGGUCGCAAGACUA